RNAcentral lists this long non-coding RNA (2063 nucleotides) under Bemisia tabaci. Its description in RNAcentral is "lncRNA ENSASIAIIG002509". Lineage: Eukaryota; Metazoa; Arthropoda; Insecta; Hemiptera; Aleyrodidae. The record is from RNAcentral.
GGACGAAUUUAUCACAGCAACAAUUGAUACUCAUCCCUGAUGUGCUCCCCGCAGGAGCUGGAUUUGAAAAGGGAAUGCCUGGAGCGGGCGGACAAUCGGACUGCUAUCAUGAAAAAGGAAAGUAUGAAUCUGAAAAACAAGAUGGAUGCUGCCAACCUCUUCAUUUUGGCUUUGAAGAAAACAGCUGCAAGAUGCCCAGAACGAAAAGGAUGGUUUAAUUAAAGAGAUAGCAGAUUUGAGAAAAACGAUCGAAAACAAGGAUAAAUGUGUUGAGCAGCUGGUAGCUGAGUCGAAUGAAUUUAAAUUUCGAAUUGUGGAGAGUGAAAAAAUAGCCGGUGGUUUGUCCGCGGAGCUUCAAGUCUACAAACGGAAGCACGAAGAGUUGACUAGAGACAAUCGUGCAUUACGCGGAAAAAUUUCAAGGCUGGAAAGUUUGAACGCAGAUUUGGAGACAAAGCUUGAGAAAGAAGACGAGGAACGAAAAAUGUACCAGGAACAGAGUCUCAAACAUGCGCUCGAGGUGGCAGAGCUACGAAUGACUUUGGAAACUCUUCGACACACCGACAAACUUUGGCUGGCAAGAGUUUUGCAAACUUUAAAUUCAAUUUUGAAAGUUCCCGUCAAGCUGAUUCUUUACACAUCCUUCCCGUUCCCGCUGUCGAGAAGCCAGUAAAGCAAGGAAUGCCGUUCAUAACACGGCCCCACGGCCCUUGCACGCGCUUCAUUCAUGAGGUCACCACGUGCAACAGCAUCUGUAUGCCGCGACCUAGUUUUGUAAAGCAAAAUGUGUUUAUUUGUAAGCUUUUCAUAAUUACUUAUGCAACUGGUUAGCGAUGGGCCGAUUACACUGGUCACCACGGAAAAAACUAAAUUGCUGAUUUAACAAUUCAAUUGCUAAAAAAAAGUGACUGCAAUGUUUCAAUGUGAAUUGUACAACAACAAAAAUGCUACUUUGCCACCCCGUGGUUAAAUUAGCUUACAAUAGUGGUUGAAGUAGCAUUUUUUUGUUGUGUUAAAAUAUUGCAGUCACUUUUUUUAGCAAUUGAGUUGUUAAAUCAGCAAUUAAAUUUUUUCCGCGCAGAAUCGUGUUUUGAUGCUUGAUUCUUGUAGAUUAGGUAAUAAAAUCUGUCCAAACAGCGACUUUCUUCGUUGAAUAUUGACCGAGAUAUCGCGCCUUAAAAAACUCGAUUUGCGACGUCAUCAACCGAGGUUGUGCAUAACAUGGUGUGUGCCACCCCGGUGGAUGACGUCAUAAAUCGAGUUUUUUAAGGCGCGAUAUCUUCAAAGUAGAAAGUUGCUGUUUGGACGGAUCUUAUUAUUUUUAGCAGAUCUACAAGAAUGUGGCAUCAAAAUACAAUUCCGUGACCGGCGCAACUGACCCAUUGAUUUGAAAUAGAGAAAUUUUACUUCUAUCCAUUUGACUGUACUCUGACUGUGUAUACUGAGAAUUUAAUAUUAGUAGCUCUCUUCAUAAGGAGGAGGCCGUAAGCAGCAAUAAAACAAGACGAAACCUUAGCAAAUCCACGUUUGCCUUUCAAAUUGAUGAUUUCAGUCGGUAAAUGCGUGCCUCAGUUGGAACGUUUGCCAAACUUCGAUAUUCUCCUUCGAAUGAAAACAAGCAAAAUAAUCCCCUAGCAUUUUACGGAAAAUUUAUUGGAAGAGGGAAAAAAAUUCACGGACGGAUUAUGAGAAAAAGCUUGAGAGAAAGGGUGGGGUGGCGCAAGAGUUACGGAGUUUGGACAAUUAAAAAUAAAUAAAAUAAAAAAAAGAAGGAAAAAAAAUCGGAAAAAACGCGUUAAAAUCUGAGAUGCACAUUUUUCGACUUUAACCAUCGUCACACAAAAGCCUAUAAAACGAAAUUUUAGAGAGUCAGGGAGAGACAUAAUCAUGGCACUUAAACAAAUUCUCAGAUAUCAUAGGAAUGAAUUCAAGUUGUUAAACGUAAGAUACGCCCUUAGGAAGGGUUUAUAUAAGGAUUUUCAAAUUAAUGGGUAGUUAUUUGUCCAAUUUGUACGAAAGUCUGUAAUUAUGACGAAUAAAUAUUGAAAACUGUUAAAAUUCAC